ACACGCAUGACACACUGCAUAUCAAUAAGCGGAGGAAAAGAAACUAACAAGGAUUCCCCUAGUAACGGCGAGUGAAGCGGGAAGAGCUCAAAUUUGAAAUCUUAAAGGGUUUCCCUUGACGAAUUGUAGUUUAAAGAAGUGUUUUCUGUUAGAGAGUUUGGUAAAAGUUCUUUGGAAUAGGACAUCAUAGAGGGUGAGAAUCCCGUAUUUGAUCAUUCUUUCUAACGUUGUGAUACACUUUCAAAGAGUCGGAUUGUUUGGGAAUGCAGUCCAAAAUGGGUGGUAAAUUUCAUCUAAAGCUAAAUAUUGGCGAGAGACCGAUAGCGAACAAGUACCGUGAGGGAAAGAUGAAAAGAACUUUGAAAAGAGAGUUAAACAGUACGUGAAAUUGUCAAAAGGGAAGCGUUUGACACCAGUGUUGUUUUUCCGAAAAUCAAUUACGAAUGUUUUAUUUUUGAGAAGUUAUGACUUCAUCGGCUUGCUUCUUUCUUUAUGAAACUUUCUUAAUGCACUUUUCGGUUAACAAGUCAACAUCAAUUUCUUUUGUUGUAAAAGGGUAUGAGGAAGGUGGCUUUCUUUUCGGAGAAAGUGUUUAUAGCCUUGUACCUCUGCAAUCGGAGAGAUCGAGGACAGCAGCGUAGACUCCUUCGGGGGUUAGAUACACUUGUGCUAAGCUAUAGCCUUGUAUAGACAACUUGUUGACUAUGCUCAGUCAUGUAGCUUACUCGCUUGUGCUAUUUUACCUACGCUUAGGAUGUUGAGCGCAUGUCUCUCUCU
This 777-nucleotide ribosomal RNA is filed under the name uncultured Neocallimastigales. Its description in RNAcentral is "partial large subunit ribosomal RNA". It matches the Rfam family "Eukaryotic large subunit ribosomal RNA", at positions 23 to 616 of the family's 3401-position model. Lineage: Eukaryota; Fungi; Neocallimastigomycota; Neocallimastigomycetes; Neocallimastigales. The record is from RNAcentral.